UCUGUUUUGUUGUAGGGAUGCAUAAUGGCUUUUCGUGUCUUUGGGGGUAGCGAUGUUUACCAAGCAGUA
Molecule: transfer RNA, 69 nt
Filed under: Bothridium pithonis
Lineage: Eukaryota; Metazoa; Platyhelminthes; Cestoda; Diphyllobothriidea; Diphyllobothriidae
Description: tRNA-Glu
Source: RNAcentral